AUCUCGGCUCACUGCAACCUCCGUCUCCUGGGUUCAAAUGAUUCUCCUGCCUCGGCCAUGAUGCUCAAUUUCUAAUACUAAUUGCCUAUUUUACUGUCUGUUACAGCUUCAUUGUAGGAGGUGUGAAAGAGGAGGGAAAUUGUGUUGGAAGAGGAGAUUAGGACAUCAAGAGACACCAGGAGUACCCAUGCACAG
Molecule: long non-coding RNA, 195 nt
Organism: Piliocolobus tephrosceles (Ugandan red Colobus)
Lineage: Eukaryota; Metazoa; Chordata; Mammalia; Primates; Cercopithecidae
Exons: 3
Source: RefSeq, a predicted model, not a curated record